CGAGUGGCGAACGGGUGAGUAAUGCAUCGGAACGUGCCCAGUCGUGGGGGAUAACGUAGCGAAAGCUACGCUAAUACCGCAUACGAUCUAUGGAUGAAAGCGGGGGAUCGCAAGACCUCGCGCGAUUGGAGCGGCCGAUAUCAGAUUAGGUAGUUGGUGAGGUAAAGGCUCACCAAGCCGACGAUCUGUAGCUGGUCUGAGAGGACGACCAGCCACACUGGGACUGAGACACGGCCCAGACUCCUACGGGAGGCAGCAGUGGGGAAUUUUGGACAAUGGGCGCAAGCCUGAUCCAGCAAUGCCGCGUGCAGGAUGAAGGCCUUCGGGUUGUAAACUGCUUUUGUACGGAACGAAAAGGCUUCCACUAAUACUGGGAGCUCAUGACGGUACCGUAAGAAUAAGCACCGGCUA
Molecule: ribosomal RNA, 411 nt
Filed under: uncultured bacterium
Lineage: Bacteria
Description: bacterial SSU rRNA
Rfam family: Bacterial small subunit ribosomal RNA
Source: RNAcentral